GACGAACGCUGGCGGCGUGCUUAACACAUGCAAGUCGAACGGAAAGGCCCUGCUUUUGUGGGGUGCUCGAGUGGCGAACGGGUGAGUAACACGUGAGUAACCUGCCCUUGACUUUGGGAUAACUUCAGGAAACUGGGGCUAAUAACGGAUAGGAGCUCCUGCUGCAUGGUGGGGGUUGGAAAGUUUCGGCGGUUGGGGAUGGACUCGCGGCUUAUCAGCUUGUUGGUGGGGUAGUGGCUUACCAGGGCUUUGACGGGUAGCCGGCCUGAGAGGGUGACCGGCCACAUUGGGACUGAGAUACGGCCCAGACUCCUACGGGAGGCAGCAGUGGGGAAUAUUGCACAAUGGGCGGAAGCCUGAUGCAGCAACGCCGCGUGCGGGAUGACGGCCUUCGGGUUGUAAACCGCUUUCGCCUGUGACGAAGCGUGAGUGACGGUAAUGGGUAAAGAAGCACCGGCUAACUACGUG
This 468-nucleotide ribosomal RNA is filed under the name uncultured bacterium. RNAcentral describes it as "partial 16S ribosomal RNA". It matches the Rfam family "Bacterial small subunit ribosomal RNA", at positions 28 to 507 of the family's 1533-position model. The record is from RNAcentral.